RNAcentral lists this ribosomal RNA (740 nucleotides) under uncultured soil bacterium. RNAcentral describes it as "bacterial SSU rRNA". It matches the Rfam family "Bacterial small subunit ribosomal RNA", at positions 29 to 770 of the family's 1533-position model. The record is from RNAcentral.
AUGAACGCUAGCGGCAGGCUUAACACAUGCAAGUCGAGGGGUAUGGUUCUUCGGAACCAGAGACCGGCGCACGGGUGCGUAACGCGUAUGCAAUCUGCCUUUUACAGAGGGAUAGCCCAGAGAAAUUUGGAUUAAUACCUCAUAGUAUAAUUGAAUGGCAUCAUUUAAUUAUUAAAGUCACAACGGUAAAAGAUGAGCAUGCGUCCCAUUAGCUAGUUGGUAAGGUAACGGCUUACCAAGGCGACGAUGGGUAGGGGUCCUGAGAGGGAGAUCCCCCACACUGGUACUGAGACACGGACCAGACUCCUACGGGAGGCAGCAGUGAGGAAUAUUGGACAAUGGGCGCAAGCCUGAUCCAGCCAUGCCGCGUGCAGGAUGACGGUCCUAUGGAUUGUAAACUGCUUUUAUACGAGAAAAAACACUGAUUCGUGAAUCAGCUUGACGGUAUCGUAAGAAUAAGGAUCGGCUAACUCCGUGCCAGCAGCCGCGGUAAUACGGAGGAUCCAAGCGUUAUCCGGAAUCAUUGGGUUUAAAGGGUCCGUAGGCGGUUUAGUAAGUCAGUGGUGAAAGCCCAUCGCUCAACGGUGGAACGGCCAUUGAUACUGCUGAACUUGAAUUAUUAGGAAGUAACUAGAAUAUGUAGUGUAGCGGUGAAAUGCUUAGAGAUUACAUGGAAUACCAAUUGCGAAGGCAGGUUACUACUAAUGGAUUGACGCUGAUGGACGAAAGCGUGGGUAGCG